AUGUGGUUUAAUUCGACGCAACGCGAAGAACCUUACCAGGGCUUGACAUCCCUGACGCGUAUGAAGUACGUUUCACCUCGGGUGACAGGGAGACAGGUGGUGCAUGGUUGUCGUCAGCUCGUGUCGUGAGAUGUUGGGUUAAGUCCCGCAACGAGCGCAACCCCUACGUUUAGUUGCUAACGCGUGAAGGCGAGCACUCUAGACGAACUGCCGUUGACAAAACGGAGGAAGUGGGAUGACGUCAAAUCAUCAUGCCCCUUAUGUUCUGGGCUACACACGUGCUACAAUGGCCGGUACAGACGGACGCAAAGCCGCGAGGUGGAGCAAAUCCUAAAAAGCCGGUCUCAGUUCGGAUUGCAGGCUGCAAUUCGCCUGCAUGAAGUCGGAAUCGCUAGUAAUCGCAGAUCAGCACGCCGCGGUGAAUACGUUCCCGGGCCUU
RNAcentral lists this ribosomal RNA (439 nucleotides) under uncultured Pelotomaculum sp. RNAcentral's name for it is "bacterial SSU rRNA". It matches the Rfam family "Bacterial small subunit ribosomal RNA", at positions 939 to 1382 of the family's 1533-position model. The record is from RNAcentral. Lineage: Bacteria; Bacillati; Bacillota; Clostridia; Eubacteriales; Desulfotomaculaceae.